UUUAUGAAUUCGUUCUACUAAGCCUUCUAGAAGGAAAAACAUCUCUUCCUACAUCUAGGCCUGGUAGCUUCUUUUAUCUGCUCAUGGAAGUGAUAAUGAGGAUUCACCCUCCUGGAGGAGCCUGGACAGAGGCUGCUCGGAACUUCUACCUCCUCAUUAAGGGCCAGAUGAAGGCGUGGCUGGACUCCAUCUUCAACCUCGAUGAGUCCAUCUAUGAAAGCCCACAGAUGCUCUCGGGGCAGGUGAUGGGGAAUCUAGAAAUGCAGGUUGAGUUCCUCCUGUCCAGCCUGGAUUAAGGGUCCCAAACUGAGCUGAGGAUCACUAACACAAAAUAAAGUUUUUUGCAUUUAAACAUUAUCUGUCAAUCGUAAACUAACUUUACAUAAUGUGUGGGGGAGAGUGGGGUAAGUUGAGCCAUUU
This is a long non-coding RNA of Coregonus clupeaformis (lake whitefish), 420 nucleotides long. RefSeq lists it as uncharacterized. The transcript is spliced from 3 exons. The record is from RefSeq and is a predicted model, not a curated record. NCBI's taxonomy places the organism in Eukaryota, Metazoa, Chordata, Actinopteri, Salmoniformes, Salmonidae.